CCUACGGGAGGCAGCAGUGGGGAAUAUUGCACAAUGGGCGCAAGCCUGAUGCAGCGACGCCGCGUGAGGGAUGACGGCCUUCGGGUUGUAAACCUCUUUCAGUAGGGAAGAAGCGAAAGUGACGGUACCUGCAGAAGAAGCGCCGGCUAACUACGUGCCAGCAGCCGCGGUAAUACGUAGGGCGCAAGCGUUAUCCGGAAUUAUUGGGCGUAAAGAGCUCGUAGGCGGUUUGUCGCGUCUGCCGUGAAAGUCCGGGGCUCAACUCCGGAUCUGCGGUGGGUACGGGCAGACUAGAGUGAUGUAGGGGAGACUGGAAUUCCUGGUGUAGCGGUGAAAUGCGCAGAUAUCAGGAGGAACACCGAUGGCGAAGGCAGGUCUCUGGGCAUUAACUGACGCUGAGGAGCGAAAGCAUGGGGAGCGAACAGGAUUAGAUACCCUGGUAGUCCAUGCCGUAAACGUUGGGCACUAGGUGUGGGGGACAUUCCACGUUUUCCGCGCCGUAGCUAACGCAUUAAGUGCCCCGCCUGGGGAGGUACGGCCGCGAGACGUAAACUACAANAGAGUUAGACGGCGUGAGACGUGCCGACGGACGACCGACCGAGGGGAGGUUAGG
RNAcentral lists this ribosomal RNA (613 nucleotides) under uncultured bacterium. RNAcentral's name for it is "bacterial SSU rRNA". The stretch from base 1 to 525 matches the Rfam family "Bacterial small subunit ribosomal RNA", at positions 338 to 873 of the family's 1533-position model. The record is from RNAcentral.